GCCAAUGUAGCUCAGGGGUAGAGCACUUCCUUGGUAAGGAAGAGGUCAUGAGUUCAAUUCUCAUCAUUGGCU
Molecule: transfer RNA, 72 nt
Filed under: Bacteroidales bacterium
Lineage: Bacteria; Pseudomonadati; Bacteroidota; Bacteroidia; Bacteroidales
Description: tRNA-Thr
Rfam family: tRNA
About the family: Transfer RNA (tRNA) molecules are approximately 80 nucleotides in length.
Source: RNAcentral